AAACCAACAGGGAUUGCCUUAGUAACGGCGAGUGAAGCGGCAAAAGCUCAAUUUGAAAUCGCUUCGGCGAGUUGUAAGUAAAGUGGUUAGACGCUUUUUAAUAAGUCCCUUGGAACAGGGCGCCAUAGAGGGUGAUAGCCCCGUAUUAAAUUGUCUAGUGUGCUACUUUAGAGCGAGUCGAGUUGUUUGGGAAUGCAGCUCAAAUAGGUGGUAAACUCCAUCUAAAGCUAAAUAUUGCUGGGAGACCGAUAGCGAACAAGUACAGUGAUGGAAAGAUGAAAAGCACUUUGAAAAGAGAGUGAAAUAGCGUGUGAAAUUGUUGGAGGGGAAGGCGAUGGUAGGAAUAAGAGGCUGCGGUUUGAAAUAAAUGUUUUUCGGGCCACGGUCUCCUGAGCCUGCUUUCGCAC
Molecule: ribosomal RNA, 407 nt
Filed under: Magnusiomyces clavatus
Lineage: Eukaryota; Fungi; Ascomycota; Dipodascomycetes; Dipodascales; Dipodascaceae
Description: partial 26S ribosomal RNA
Rfam family: Eukaryotic large subunit ribosomal RNA
Source: RNAcentral